AAUAGAUACCCCGGUAGUCCACGCCCUAAACGAUGUCAACUGGGUGUUGGGGAAGCGAUUCCUUGGUACCGUAGCUAACGCGUGAAGUUGACCGCCUGGGGAGUACGGCCGCAAGGUUAAAACUCAAAGGAAUUGACGGGGACCCGCACAAGCGGUGGAUGAUGUGGAUUAAUUCGAUGCAACGCGAACAACCUUACCUACCCUUGACAUGUGCCGGAGCCUGCUGAGAGGCGGGUGUGCCCGAAAGGGAACGGCAACACAGGUGCUGCAUGGCUGUCGUCAGCUCAUGUCGUGAGAUGUUGGGUUAAGUCCCGCAACGAGCGCAACCCUUGUCCCUAGUUGCUACGCAAGGGCACUCUAGGGAGACUGCCGGUGACAAACCGGAGGAAGGUGGGGAUGACGUCAAGUCCUCAUGGCCCUUAUGGGUAGGGCUUCACACGUCAUACAAUGGUCGGUACAGAGGGUUGCCAACCCGCGAGGGGAGCCAAUCCCAGAAGGCCGAUCGUAGUCCGGAUUGCAGUCUGCAACUCGA
Molecule: ribosomal RNA, 532 nt
Filed under: uncultured bacterium
Lineage: Bacteria
Description: bacterial SSU rRNA
Rfam family: Bacterial small subunit ribosomal RNA
Source: RNAcentral